Small nuclear RNA from Otolemur garnettii (small-eared galago), 105 nucleotides. NCBI's taxonomy places the organism in Eukaryota, Metazoa, Chordata, Mammalia, Primates, Galagidae. The record is from Ensembl.
GUGCUUGCCUUCUGCACAUAUACUAAAACUGGAACAACACGGAGAGGAUCAGUGUGGCCCCUGAACUAGGAGGACACAUACAUUUGUGAAGUGUUCCCUAUUUGA